This is a small nucleolar RNA of Ruditapes philippinarum (Manila clam), 88 nucleotides long. RefSeq annotates it as Z30 small nucleolar RNA. NCBI's taxonomy places the organism in Eukaryota, Metazoa, Mollusca, Bivalvia, Venerida, Veneridae. The record is from RefSeq and is a predicted model, not a curated record. The transcript has a single exon.
CUGCCGUGAUGAUAGAUAUAACAUUGACUUGGUAUUUCUAGUGUUGAAUUGACCAAGACAUGAUCAAGUUAAUCUUCUCUCUGAGCAG